CUAGAGAACCCUGAAUUCUAACUCAGGCAAAAUCGUUCUUUGAGGGCACAAGUCCAGUAUCUUCUAAGUUUGCUAACUUUCCGAAUAAAGUGUUAGUCCUUGCUUGCUAGACCUUGCCACAGCAACUUAUCUCUCGAUUUACUGGCCUGCUGUGUGGCAAGCAGUAAGAGCUUGGAUUUGGUAACAAGUUUUGGUGAGCCGUCCAGGGACCUUUCUGCUCGUGGCCAACUGACCUCAGUUGGAGAAUUCUGGGGUAAGUUCCUAGCAGUUUCAGGGACCACUUGUCUUGAGGAUCUUCCCUUCAGAAUUCACCAAAGUGACACUGGCUGCCCCAGCACUUCGCAGUUGGAGCAAAGAAUCCUUUGGACUCCGACAGGUUCCAUCCAGUAGGAUCCCUGGAAAGGACAGGCUUGGAGUGGUGGUGAGGGUGUAGGUUGAAAGUUCAAAGGCUACUGAGGUUACAGUGAGUAGCAAAGCAGAGUACCUCCACUUCAAUUACAAAGUUCAAGAAGGCAAGAAACCCCCUGAAGACGGAAUUGAAACAGCAGAUGCCUCAGAGCUCUGACUGCUGACAAUGCUGAAAACAUGAAGAGACUCCGUUUUCUGUCUGGAUUGUUAUGGAGCAGACACUCUCGGUUUAUACCCUCCAGGGGAGAUGGAGAGAUGCUUUCUGUAAAUAAGAAUGAGUGACUUGAAGGUGAUCUGUUUAAAUAGUCAGCUUGGGUUGUCCUUACCUCUCAGGAAAACAAGCAGCCCCAUACAGCUGAAUGUCUUUUGGUGUUAUUAAGGAGAAUGACACCAGGGCUGUGAAGUUAGUCACUGACUUUACAUCUAUAUGUACCUGUUUUAUCUUGUUUUGCAAAUACUGUUUGGCUUCUUGUUUGUUGUUUGUUUUUUAAUAAAUCGAAGAUCUGUGGCAACCCUGCAUCAAGCCAGUAAUUUUUCUAGCAGCAUUUGCUUCCUUCCUGACUUUGUCACAUUUUGGUAAUUCUUGCACUAUUUCAAACCUUUUCAUUAUUUGUUAUGGUGAGCUGUGAUGUUACUAUUGUAACACCUAUCCACUGAUGUUACUACUAUAAUUGUUUGGGGGCACCACAAACUGUACCCAUGUCAGAUGACAAACUUAAUCAAUAAAUAUUUGUGUUCUGACUGCUCCAC
Long non-coding RNA from Bos taurus (domestic cattle), 1158 nucleotides. Lineage: Eukaryota; Metazoa; Chordata; Mammalia; Artiodactyla; Bovidae. The record is from Ensembl.